RNAcentral lists this ribosomal RNA (229 nucleotides) under uncultured bacterium. RNAcentral's name for it is "partial 16S ribosomal RNA". It matches the Rfam family "Bacterial small subunit ribosomal RNA", at positions 568 to 796 of the family's 1533-position model. The record is from RNAcentral.
CACGUAGGCGGAUCAGAAAGUUAGAGGUGAAAUCCCAGGGCUCAACCCUGGAACUGCCUCCUAAACUACUAGUCUAGAGUUCGAGAGAGGUGAGUGGAAUUCCAAGUGUAGAGGUGAAAUUCGUAGAUAUUUGGAGGAACACCAGUGGCGAAGGCGGCUCACUGGCUCGAUACUGACGCUGAGGUACGAAAGUGUGGGGAGCAAACAGGAUUAGAUACCCUGGUAGUCC